GCACUGGUGGUUCAGUGGUAGGAUUCUCACCUUCCAUGCAAGAGACUGGGGUUCAAUUCCUGGCCAAUGUA
Molecule: transfer RNA, 71 nt
Filed under: Loxodonta africana (African savanna elephant)
Lineage: Eukaryota; Metazoa; Chordata; Mammalia; Proboscidea; Elephantidae
Rfam family: tRNA
About the family: Transfer RNA (tRNA) molecules are approximately 80 nucleotides in length. Their secondary structure includes four short double-helical elements and three loops (D, anti-codon, and T loops).
Source: Rfam by way of RNAcentral